AACGAACGCUGGCGGCAUGCCUAACACAUGCAAGUCGAACGAGACCUUCGGGUCUAGUUGCGCACGUGUGCGUAACGCGUGGGAACCUGCCCUUAGGUUCGGAAUAACUCCCCGAAAGGGGUGCUAAUACCGGAUAAUGUCCUCGGACCAAAGAUUUAUCGCCUUUGGAUGGGCCCGCGUUGGAUUAGCUAGUUGGUAGGGUAAAAGCCUACCAAGGCGACGAUCCAUAGCUGGUCUGAGAGGAUGAUCAGCCACACUGGGACUGAGACACGGCCCAGACUCCUACGGGAAGCAGCAGUGGGGAAUAUUGGACAAUGGGCGAAAGCCUGAUCCAGCAAUGCCGCGUGAGUGAUGAAGGCCUUAGGGUUGUAAAGCUCUUUUACCCGGGAUGAUAAUGACAGUACCGGGAGAAUAAGCUCCGGCUAACUCCGUG
This 433-nucleotide ribosomal RNA is filed under the name uncultured bacterium. RNAcentral describes it as "partial 16S ribosomal RNA". It matches the Rfam family "Bacterial small subunit ribosomal RNA", at positions 29 to 507 of the family's 1533-position model. The record is from RNAcentral.